GAUGAACGCUGGCGGCGUGCCUAAUACAUGCAAGUCGAGCGAACAGACGAGGAGCUUGCUCCUCUGACGUUAGCGGCGGACGGGUGAGUAACACGUGGAUAACCUACCUAUAAGACUGGGAUAACUUCGGGAAACCGGAGCUAAUACCGGAUAAUAUAUUGAACCGCAUGGUUCAAUAGUGAAAGACGGUUUUGCUGUCACUUAUAGAUGGAUCCGCGCCGCAUUAGCUAGUUGGUAAGGUAACGGCUUACCAAGGCAACGAUGCGUAGCCGACCUGAGAGGGUGAUCGGCCACACUGGAACUGAGACACGGUCCAGACUCCUACGGGAGGCAGCAGUAGGGAAUCUUGCGCAAUGGGCGAAAGCCUGACGGAGCAACGCCGCGUGAGUGAUGAAGGUCUUCGGAUCGUAAAGCUCUGUUAGUAGGGAAGAAGAAAUGUGUAAGUAACUAUGCACGUCUUGACGGUACCUAAACAGAAAGCCACGGCUAACUACGUG
This 497-nucleotide ribosomal RNA is filed under the name uncultured bacterium. Its description in RNAcentral is "partial 16S ribosomal RNA". It matches the Rfam family "Bacterial small subunit ribosomal RNA", at positions 28 to 507 of the family's 1533-position model. The record is from RNAcentral.